This 792-nucleotide ribosomal RNA is filed under the name Triticum aestivum (bread wheat). Its description in RNAcentral is "partial small subunit ribosomal RNA". The record is from RNAcentral. Lineage: Eukaryota; Viridiplantae; Streptophyta; Magnoliopsida; Poales; Poaceae.
AUGGCUGCUGACUGCGGGAGUAGGGAGGAGAUGUGGAGCCUGGCCGACGCCACCGCGCUCGUCACCGGCGGCAGCAAAGGGAUAGGACAUGCCAUCGUGGAGGAGCUUGCUAGGUUUGGGGCGAGGGUGCACACCUGCUCCCGGAACGCAGCGGAGCUGGAGGAGUGCCGCCGGCGGUGGGAGGAGAAGAACCUCCAGGUCACCGUCUCUGUCUGUGAUGUGUCCGUAGGUGCCGACAGGGAGAAGCUUAUGGAAACGGUCCGACAAACCUUCGACUCCAAGCUCGACAUACUAGUGAACAAUGCGGCACAAUUGUUCUACAAGCCCACUGUUGGAUGUACAGCGGAGGAAUACUCGAACCUGAUGACCACCAACUUGGAGUCGACCUUCCAUCUCAGCCAACUCGCGCACCCUCUUCUCCUACACGCUUCUAUUGCCGGAGGAGGCACCAUCAUCAACAUGUCCUCUAUUGGAGGCUCAAUCGGCUUUGCAGGCUACACAAUUUAUGCUACCACAAAAGGUGCAAUACACCAGCUUACGAGGAGUUUGGCCACCGAGUGGGGCCCCGACAACAUUCGUGUGAAUGCCAUCGCCCCAGGUUUUAUCACAACCGAUAUGAUUAAAGAUAUUGAUACAGAGUUUAUGAAGCAAGAGCACUUGAAGACCCCGUUGGGACGGAGCGGCAAGCCGGUGGAGAUCGCCACAGCAGUGUCAUUCCUAUGCAUGCCGGCAGCUUCUUUUAUCACCGGCCAAGUCAUUUGCAUCGAUGGUGGUCGAACUAUUAGUUCUUAA